GACGAACGCUGGCGGCGUGCUUAACACAUGCAAGUCGAACGGAAAGGCCCUGCUUUUGUGGGGUGCUCGAGUGGCGAACGGGUGAGUAACACGUGAGUAACCUGCCCUUGACUUUGGGAUAACUUCAGGAAACUGGGGCUAAUACCGGAUAGGAGCUCCUGCUGCAUGGUGGGGGUUGGUAAGUUUCGGCGGUUGGGGAUGGACUCGCGGCUUAUCAGCUUUUUGGUGGGGUAGUGGCUUACCAAGGCUUUGACGGGUAGCCGGCCUGAGAGGGUGACCGGCCACAUUGGGACUGAGAUACGGCCCAGACUCCUACGGGAGGCAGCAGUGGGGAAUAUUGCACAAUGGGCGGAAGCCUGAUGCAGAAACGCGGCGUGCGGGAUGACGGCCUUCGGGUUGUAAACCGCUUUCGCCUGUGACGAAGCGUGAGUGACGGUAAUGGGUAAAGAAGCACCGGCUAACUACGUG
Molecule: ribosomal RNA, 468 nt
Filed under: uncultured bacterium
Lineage: Bacteria
Description: partial 16S ribosomal RNA
Rfam family: Bacterial small subunit ribosomal RNA
Source: RNAcentral